This 27-nucleotide non-coding RNA is filed under the name Homo sapiens (human). The record is from RNAcentral. Lineage: Eukaryota; Metazoa; Chordata; Mammalia; Primates; Hominidae.
CAGGAAAGAGCUUCCUGGGGAAAGGAA